CUGGAUUCUACCAAUAAAGUCCUUCGGAAUGUAAUCUAAAUUUUGGCCUAAUCUUUGAUGUUACAGAAGGAAAGAAGGGGUGGAGAUGAUACACUCCACAGAUUGGACAGCUAACAAGUACCUACUACUAUUGACUAUGUAUUAAUUUCCUAUUAACAAGUAAAAAAAAUGGCAUUGAUUUUGUUUUACUAGUUUCUGCUUGAAUUCCUAAAUUUUCUUUUUGAAUAUUUUUCUUGUCUUAGCCCACUCCACCCAACUUUUCCUUUCUCGUUUUUUUGAUUAGUAUCUGAAACAAUUCUUAUUUCAUUGAGCAAUGUAUAUUCUUGCAAAAAAUGAAUUAAAAAAUUAAUUUGUGCCCAAUUAGUUUGGUGUAAAUGUCAUCCACAUUUAUCUCAUGUAAUUUUAAUUGGAAAUAUUUAGUGUUUAUGGGAAUAAACAGGAAGCUUGAAAUUGCUAAUCAUUGGCAUUAAAUUGAAGCAGGUUUAGAAAUGAAAAUUCUGGAUUAGGAGAGAAUGGAUGAGAAGGAGAAUUGCGGACAAAAGAAAAUAAUGUCUCCCUGUUUGGCUCUGAAGAAUUGCUUGGAUGAGAAAAUGGAGGGACCCUUGCCUCACAACGAUCGGGUGAGAUAUCAGCCACUGGACCUAUAUCCUACUCCACUCCACAGAUGUUAAAAGUGUUAACGGAACGACGCAGGGUUCUCAGUUCCUAGCAUGUUGUCUUUGAUCCUAGUUUGGCUGCCCUCUAUCUGAGUCCAAGCUAGACAUUGAUUCGGGCUCCUGGGAGAAGAAAAAAACCCGGCUGUUGACACCAAUGCUCUGGUUCUUAGAUGCUGAAGCUAUUGAAUAUUGUUAGCUGACUCUUGAGUAGAAAGGUGAAAUGCAGCAGGAUUGUAUCUUCAGAUGAGGCUUAAGAAUGUGCUUUACAACAGUUUUGUUGGCUUAUUUAUUAUUGUUUUGAUGUUUCUGUACAAUGAAAUUGAAGUUAUAAGAAGGGUCGAUCUGUCUUCGUGUACAGAGAAAUCUGUAAUGAAAAUAAUUUUUCCCAUUAAUGUAUUAA
Molecule: long non-coding RNA, 1056 nt
Organism: Vitis vinifera (wine grape)
Lineage: Eukaryota; Viridiplantae; Streptophyta; Magnoliopsida; Vitales; Vitaceae
Exons: 2
Source: RefSeq, a predicted model, not a curated record